UGUGGGAGCGAGCCUGCUCGCGAAUCAGGUUUGUCAGGUAGCGAAUGCAUCGCCUGAUACAUCGCUUUCGCGAGCAGGCUCGCUCCCACA
This 90-nucleotide unclassified non-coding RNA is filed under the name Pseudomonas granadensis. The record is from RNAcentral. Lineage: Bacteria; Pseudomonadati; Pseudomonadota; Gammaproteobacteria; Pseudomonadales; Pseudomonadaceae.